Molecule: transfer RNA, 75 nt
Filed under: Cordylochernes scorpioides
Lineage: Eukaryota; Metazoa; Arthropoda; Arachnida; Pseudoscorpiones; Chernetidae
Description: tRNA-Thr
Rfam family: tRNA
About the family: Transfer RNA (tRNA) molecules are approximately 80 nucleotides in length. Their secondary structure includes four short double-helical elements and three loops (D, anti-codon, and T loops).
Source: RNAcentral
UCCAGGGUAGCCUAGUGGACAUGGCAUCUGCCCGGUAAGCGAAAAACACUGUGGGUUCGUUUCCCAUCCCUGGAU